GAUGAACGCUGGCGGCGUGCUUAACACAUGCAAGUCGAACGGUGGUAGUAAUAUCACAGUGGCGCACGGGUGAGGAACACGUAGCUCAUCUGCCCUCUAGCGCGGGAUAACGGUCCGAAAGGAUUGCUAAUACCGCAUAAGCUCACGGAAUGCAGAGGUCUGUGAGAAAAGGCUUCGGUCACUAGAGGAGGAGGCUGCGGCCCAUCAGGUAGUUGGNGUGGUAACGGCGCACCAAGCCGUCGACGGGUAGGGGACCUGAGAGGGUGAUCCCCA
Molecule: ribosomal RNA, 273 nt
Filed under: uncultured bacterium
Lineage: Bacteria
Description: partial 16S ribosomal RNA
Rfam family: Bacterial small subunit ribosomal RNA
Source: RNAcentral